Molecule: ribosomal RNA, 1251 nt
Filed under: metagenome
Description: bacterial LSU rRNA
Rfam family: Bacterial large subunit ribosomal RNA
Source: RNAcentral
CUACACGACCGUACCGCAAACCGACACUGGUGCGCGAGAUGAGUAUUCUAAGGCGCUUGAGAGAACUCAGGAGAAGGAACUCGGCAAAUUGACACCGUAACUUCGGAAGAAGGUGUGCCUUUAGUAGGUGAACCAUUUACUUGGGGAGCCCAAUGAGGCUGCAAAAAAUCGGUGGCUGCAACUGUUUAUUAAAAACACAGCACUCUGCUAAGACGAAAGUCGACGUAUAGGGUGUGACGCCUGCCCGGUGCUGGAAGACUAAAUGAUGGGGUGCAAGCUCUUGAUUGAAGUCCCAGUAAACGGCGGCCGUAACAAUAACGGUCCUAAGGUAGCGAAAUUCCUUGUCGGGUAAGUUCCGACCUGCACGAAUGGCGUAAUGAUGGCCACACUGUCUCCUCCUGAGACUCAGCGAAGUUGAAAUGUUUGUGAUGAUGCAAUCUCCCCGCGGAAAGACGGAAAGACCCCAUGAACCUUUACUGUAGCUUUGUAUUGGACUUUGAACAGAUCUGUGUAGGAUAGGUGGGAGGCUUUGAAGUGUGGUCGCUAGAUCGCAUGGAGCCAACGUUGAAAUACCACCCUGGUGUGUUUGAGGUUCUAACCUAGGUCCAUUAUCUGGAUCGGGGACAGUGCAUGGUAGGCAGUUUGACUGGGGCGGUCUCCUCCCAAAGUGUAACGGAGGAGUUCGAAGGUACGCUAGGUACGGUCGGACAUCGUGCUAAUAGUGCAAUGGCAUAAGCGUGCUUAACUGCGAGACUGACAAGUCGAGCAGAUGCGAAAGCAGGACAUAGUGAUCCGGUGGUUCUGUAUGGAAGGGCCAUCGCUCAACGGAUAAAAGGUACUCUGGGGAUAACAGGCUGAUACCGCCCAAGAGUUCAUAUCGACGGCGGUGUUUGGCACCUCGAUGUCGGCUCAUCUCAUCCUGGGGCUGUAGCCGGUCCCAAGUGUAUGGCUGUUCGCCAUUUAAAGAGGUACGUGAGCUGGGUUUAAAACGUCGUGAGACAGUUUGGUCCCUAUCUUCCGUGGGCGCUGCAGAUUUGAGGAAGCCUGCUCCUAGUACGAGAGGACCGGAGUGGACGAACCUCUGGUGUAUCGGUUGUCACGCCAGUGGCAUUGCCGAGUAGCUAAGUUCGGAAGAGAUAACCGCUGAAAGCAUCUAAGCGGGAAACUCGUUUCAAGAUUAGAUCUGCCGGGGCCUUGAGCCCCCUAAAGAGUCGUUCAAGACCAGGACGUUGAUAGGUCAGGUGUGGAAGC